AAGGCUCAAGACUUUGCACGCCUUAGCACUUAGAGUCACAAGGUACUUAAGUGCACGUCUUCACAAGGUCAGAAGGUAAGGUAAUUAAUAUGUGUCUUUAUUAAGUAAGUGGUACAAGAUCUUCACGGACCAGUAAUUCAUGGCAUUUCAUGCAAAGUUGAAAUAGGCAUUACAAGGAGAGAAAAAAAUUUAAGCCAAACUUUCCUAGUUAAAGAAAAAAAAAGAAUAUAGUUUCCCCUUUGCUUCCUAAUAUGUGUCAACCUUACCCUGAGACCUUGUGACUGUAAAAGUGAUAAAGACGUGCGAAUCCUUGAGCAUUGUCAGCAUGAAAUUUAUUCCCAGUAAUCAAACCAUCUUAAGGUGUGGGAGAGUUCUCGCAUUAUAAGGAUUUGUGAAAAAUAAAUUCUCUGUGAAAACAAAGUUGAUGUUAAGAACGGACAGGUUAGGGCAAAGCUGGUUAUCUCCACGGAAAGAAAAGUUUGCAAUACUAUGAGAUCUCUUCAAAGAGUAAUUACUACUUUGAGAAGCCUUUUCUAUAUCUUGGUAGAAAGCUUGUUGGGUAAUGCUUAUAUAUAUAAAUUUAUUUUCUGUUUGCUAUCACCAUAUAUGCUGUUGAUGUACUAAACCUAAUUUCUUGUCCUACUUGUAGGAAUGGUAAUUUUCACUUUGUGGAAUCACCUGCACUUGCACCUCCAGAAGUAUAAAUUAACUUAGUUGCACAAGCACAAUAAGAUCUCUGUUACUUUUGGUAUUUCAUUAUUUCAUGAUUCUGCUAAUAUCGAAGUUUUAUAUGUGCAUUCCCCAGAAUCGAAAAUCGUCAGCAAAGAUAAGAAAACAAAUAUUUAAUAUGUCUAUCAAAGUUAGACAGAUUUGUUGAUAGAUGUUAUGAUUUAACAUCUUAAUAUGUUUAUCAUUGUAGAGGUGACAAUUUUGAUCACGAAUAACCCUUGUAUAUACUAGAGUAGAAAUAAACAUCAGGUUCCUAUUAAGUUGAAAUCAUGCAAGUUAAACAUGUUGCUUGCUUGUCUGUGAUAUUCAAGGUUCCAUUAACUCAUCAUAUUUAUGUAAUCAGGCUAAAGACUGCAUGCGUGUCUAUUAAUUUUGUUUCAGUUGAGAUUUUAGUUCUUAGCUUUAUCUUACUGAAAAAUGCUGGCAGAAAAAAGUGUGAAUUUAUUAUGUCUCUGUCAAUUUAUCCUUAUGAUUUUUCUAUCAAGCCUACCCUUUCUUAAUAAAAGACACAUUAUAUGAAGGACAUAAUAGAUGAAUGGCCCCUUAUCAAUUCACAUGACAUGUGGCUUUCUAAAAUAAAGGAUAAAACUUUUUGGAAAAUCAUGAUAUAUGUGUUGGAUAUGCAUAGGUCUUAUAAAUUGACGAGAUUCAUAUCUUGCGUACCUAUAGUCAUGCCAGAUUGAUGAAUGAAAACAAACAUUUUAAUGCAGGAAUAUUAUAGGAUUAUUUCUGAAUUCUCUUAUUGAUCUUUAAGACCUGUGAUUUUAAAUAAGCGAAGCUCUAAGCUUGCAGGCGACAUGACGCCUAACUGAAAGUAAAAAAUGAUAUUUUUAAAGAAGUUUGCUACUAUUGAUGACCGCUGCAGAAAAGCUGCCCAUUGAUAGUAGUUAUGGUGGAGUCUAAAUACUAUCAUAAAGCUCUGAUGUACGGAUGGGCAUAAAAAAAUUUGCUUGCAGAAGCAAUUUGACAUUGUGGAUAAUUGAAUAACAAUUUUUUUUUUGUAUUAUCUCAUGCCGUGUCUUUUUAACCUAUCAGUUUGUUUAUAUCGUCAUUCAUGCACACUAAAGAUGCAAAAUAUGUUAAUGAACUAAGAAUUUGCCACCAUAUUCUUUUGAUUUUAUUUUGGUCAACAUCAAAACCUUAUGUAUUCUUUCUUAGUGCUAAUUUUGUUUACUUUUGGUGUUUACAGAGCUGUUUUAUUAUUCAUCAAUCAGUGUCCAGGCUGCAAGAAGGAUUCAGUGCAAGCUGAUUUUUCUGAUCCAUUUUUUUAAUCUUUGAAACAUAUCAAAUAAAAUUAAUAAUAAAAGGAGUCAUCAGCCUUUUUAUUCAAUCACUCUUUUACAGUAUGCCAUUACAAUAACUGAUUCUUGCAAUUCUUUAUCUAACUUUGUAUGCUAUCUUUUUUUUUUCAGUUAAUACCCAGAUGUAGAUGCAACUUGUACCGCCAGCUUGUAGCGUUAACAGUUUCACACUGUUUUGUCUUACUAGCAAGCUUAAUAAUAAUGUAGCUUUGUUCUUCA
Capsicum annuum is the source of this 2249-nucleotide long non-coding RNA. RefSeq lists it as uncharacterized. The transcript has 2 exons. The record is from RefSeq and is a predicted model, not a curated record. Lineage: Eukaryota; Viridiplantae; Streptophyta; Magnoliopsida; Solanales; Solanaceae.